RNAcentral lists this ribosomal RNA (339 nucleotides) under uncultured bacterium. RNAcentral describes it as "bacterial SSU rRNA". It matches the Rfam family "Bacterial small subunit ribosomal RNA", at positions 32 to 355 of the family's 1533-position model. The record is from RNAcentral.
AAUCAACGCUGGCGGCGUGCCUAACACAUGCAAGUCGCGCGCGAAAGGGGGGCAACUCCCGAGUAAAGCGGCGAACGGGUGAGUAACACGUGGGUAAUCUACCUUCGAGUGGGGAACAACACCGGGAAACUGGUGCUAAUUCCGCAUGACAUCGUCGGGGCUUCGGUUCUGACGCUCAAAGCUGGGGAUCGCAAGACCUAGCGCUUGAAGAUGAGCCCGCGUCCGAUUAGCUAGNGGCGGGUAAUGGCCCACCAAGGCUUCGAUCGGUAGCCGGCCUGAGAGGGCGGACGGCCGCACUGGAACUGAGACACGGUCCAGACUCCUACGGGAGGCAGCAGU